This 937-nucleotide long non-coding RNA is filed under the name Sparus aurata (gilthead seabream). RNAcentral describes it as "lncRNA (ENSSAUG00010023402.1)". Lineage: Eukaryota; Metazoa; Chordata; Actinopteri; Spariformes; Sparidae. The record is from RNAcentral.
AAGCAGAGAGCUUUGUGUUGACUGAUCACUGCAGCCUGUGUGUGUUUAUAGGACAUGCUUGGCUGCAGAUGAGCGGCAGUAAAUCCUCCCCACUUCUGAGUGAAUAGAAAUUAAGUCGUGUCAAUUGCGUGCUGAGUGACUGGAUGUGUUGGUGUGUUGACUCCUCCACCUCUCCACCAGCAGAGGGAGCUAGGUCACAGGUAAUCCUGCCUGAAGUCUCGGCCCUCACCUCUGUGUCGCUCAGGAAUUCCAACCAGCUCCCAACGUUGCUCCUCUUUUUUUUUCACCCAUCACUUCAUAUCGAAAUCCGAGUCUGGUGCAGAGCCGGACCUCCUGGAGGGAUAAACACCCAGAGUGAAAUCAGAUUCUGCUCUGAUCUUAUUGACCUUCACUCCCAUUAAUUAACCUGACUGCAGCAGCGAUCUGCAGCGGUGACACCAUUCCGAGGAGGGGGGUAAAAGAAGGGAGAGAACCUGGUGAGUGCUGAGUUCAGUGACACACAGGUACACACCCUGCCAGCUUCACCCAACAUGAAUUGGCCGUCAGGGGUCGCGAACACCAUUAAAAACUACCGCCACUGAUGAAAAUCUAUCAGAUGUGACUCAGACGAAGAGAUAACGUUUUAUUCACACUGACCUGCCUGACCUGAAAAGCUGACUAAAUUUACCACUCUUCUGCAGCAGCUUCCUGUUGACGGGAAGUCCCGACGAGUCGAUUACCGAGUGCAGUAGAGUUCCGCGGCUCAUGGAUGAAAAUGUAUGAUUAUGACUCCAUGGAAAAGCAAUCAAAGUUCAUAUGUGUCUUACCUGCCAGUUUAUAACAGUUAUUAUCGAGAGCGGACAGGGAAAAGAACGGAAUUGAGCAUUUCUAACCGCACUCGGUAAUCGUCACGUCGGGACUUCCCCGACCCGGAAGCUGAUGGAGGAGAGUUGAACUC